UACGUAGGGGGCCAGCGUUGUCCGGAAUCAUUGGGCGUAAAGCGCGCGUAGGCGGUCAGGUAAGUCCGGUGUGAAAGUCAAAGGCUCAACCUUUGAAUGCCGCUGGAUACUGCUUGACUUGAGUCCGGAAGGGGCGAGUGGAAUUCCUGGUGUAGCGGUGAAAUGCGCAGAUAUCAGGAGGAACACCGGUGGCGAAGGCGGAUCUCUGGGCCUUACCUGACGCUCAGGUGCGAAAGCUAGGGGAGCGAACAGG
Molecule: ribosomal RNA, 253 nt
Filed under: uncultured bacterium
Lineage: Bacteria
Description: partial 16S ribosomal RNA
Rfam family: Bacterial small subunit ribosomal RNA
Source: RNAcentral